UACGGAAGGCAGCAGUGGGGAAUAUUGCACAAUGGGCGCAAGCCUGAUGCAGCCAUGCCGCGUGUAUGAAGAAGGCCUUCGGGUUGUAAAGUACUUUCAGUCGUGAGGAAGGUGUUAAGGUUAAUAACCUUAGCAAUUGACGUUAGCGACAGAAGAAGCACCGGCUAACUCCGUGCCAGCAGCCGCGGUAAUACGGAGGGUGCGAGCGUUAAUCGGAAUUACUGGGCGUAAAGGGCACGCAGGCGGUUAAUUAAGUUGGAUGUGAAAUCCCCGGGCUUAACCUGGGAAUGGCAUUCAAGACUGGUUAGCUAGAGUCUUGUAGAGGGGGUAGAAUUCCAUGUGUAGCGGUGAAAUGCGUAGAGAUGUGGAGGAAUACCGGUGGCGAAGACGGCCCCUGGACAAAGACUGACGCUCAUGUGCGAAAGCGUGGGGAGCAAACAGGGAUUAGAUACC
This 453-nucleotide ribosomal RNA is filed under the name uncultured bacterium. Its description in RNAcentral is "bacterial SSU rRNA". It matches the Rfam family "Bacterial small subunit ribosomal RNA", at positions 340 to 786 of the family's 1533-position model. The record is from RNAcentral.